Non-coding RNA from Meleagris gallopavo (turkey), 6203 nucleotides. NCBI's taxonomy places the organism in Eukaryota, Metazoa, Chordata, Aves, Galliformes, Phasianidae. The record is from RefSeq and is a predicted model, not a curated record.
CUUUUAUCUAAAUGAAAUUUCCCAUAAAUUUCCUUUGUCUCUUGUCCUGUUGUGAGAAUAGUCAGGCUCCAUUUCCUAUGUGUUGUCUGCCCAGGUAGUCGUGGAUAGCAAUAAGGUCUCCCAUUCAUCUUCUCUUCUGAAGAGUGGAGGGAGCCAGAGGAGAUACUGAGUCCUGCACCUGGGAGGAACAAAUCCAAGCUCCAGUACUUGCUGUGGGCCACCCAGCUGAAAAGCAGUUCUGCAGAAAAGGACAGGGGGAUCCUGGUGGACACCAAGUUGAGCAUGAGCAAGCAGUGUGUCCUUGUGGCAAAGAAGGCUGAGAAUGUCCUGGGUUGCAUUAGGCAAAAUAUUAGUAGCAAGUCAAGGGAGGUGAUCCUUCCCUACUGUUCAAUACUGGGAGGCCACACCUGAGUACUGUGCCGAGUUCUGGACUAACCAGUACAAGGGGGACAUGAACAUAGUGGAGAGAGUUUGACAAAAGUCCAUGAAGAUGAUUAAGGGACUGGAGCAUCUCUAAUUCAAGGAAAGACUAAGAGUGAUGGAACUGCUCAACCCAGAGGAGAGAGGACUCAGAGGAGAUCUCAUCAGUAUCUAUAAAUACUCAAAGGGAGGGUGCACAGAGAAUGGAGCCAGGUUCUUUUCAGUGGUGCCCUGUGUCAGAAGAACAUGCAAGGAUCAAAAGUCAGAGGACAGGAAGUUCCCUCUGAGCACUAGGCAGUGCUUCCAUGCUGUAUGGGUGACAGAGAACUGGCACAGGUUGCCCACAGAGGCAGUGCGGUCUCCUCCUUGGAGAUCUCCAAAAGCCAUCUGGCUGGGGACUUGGGGACCCUGCUCUUAGUGGCGCUGGUGGAACAGGGGUUGGGCCACAGGGACCAAGUCAACUGCAGAGAUCGUAUGAUUCCUGCCAUUCCAUUUCUCCAUUCAGUCUAGAUCUGAGUGGUAGCCUUCCUAUCCAGUGUAUUGACCGCUCCUUCAAUUAGGUGCUAUCUGUUUCUGAAAAGUUUCUAAUAAUGCAUUAUUGUUAUCACCCAAAUCAUUUACAAAGUAUUAAAACACUGUGGGUCUCAGAGGCCAAUAAAUCUUGGCACUUUAACAGUCAGUGUAUGAGAAUGCUAGAGCAGCUGCUUAUGCCUGGGAAAAGCAAUGCCAAAACUUGCACAUACCUUAGGCAAGUUUGUGCCUUAAGGCAGAAGACUAUUACAUGGAGGAAAUUUUGUCUCCAGAUGUUUUGCACUGAAAAUGAAUGAGCAACUUUCCCUAAAAUAGCAUAGCACAGAAUCUAUGUGACAUUGCAUCUUCUGAAAAUAUCUAAAUUUGCAUGUGAGUAAAUACGGAUUGAGGGGUGUCCUUCUAAACUUCUUUAGGAAAUAUGUUCUGAAAUAAGUGUCCAUAACAGCAGUUAGUAUGGUAAAGCAAAAAUACUGAAUUGUGAAAUUAGUGUAGCAAAAAUUGCACCUCUGAAUAUUUGGUGAGAGUUCAGCUUUUCUAAGAAGUACUCAGACAUCACCAGUUCUAAGAGCUCACAUACUGCAUCUUGGUAUAUAGAAAAAGUAGCUUGCAAGAAAUGUGAAGAAUGCUUCACUUGGUUUGAUUUUUAAAUGACAGACACUCGGUUAUUCUUCAUUAAGAAACAUGUUGAAACAUCUGUUUGAAAGAGUUUUGCUGGAAUGCUUGCAUUUUAAAUGGUAAAAAUUGUGUUGAAGGGGAAGACAUCUAAAAGGAGUUUUCUCAGAUACUGUAUUAUAUUAUGCUUGCCUUGACUGAAACUUGAGCAAGUGAUGUAAUUAAGCCACUUUUACAGACUUCACUAGUGCUAAAUAGCUCCCAGUUAAAAUAAUGUGAAGCUGCAAAAUCUUGGCACAUAUUUGUACCAUUGUUACUUUUCCAGAGGCUACAGCCAUUUUAACUACAGGUUUAUGCAAGCUUAGAUUAUACAUAUUGUGGAAUCACAUAGAUAUGGUGGUGUUUGAAAUCUCCUUCAAUUACAAUUUUGAGUAUAUUUUGCUUUAUUUUACUGCAAGUGUCGACUGCUCUGUUGACUUGUUCUUCUAAAUUAUUCAGGAAUCUGAAGCUUUGUUCCUCAAGGCAAUUAAAGCCAAUCCAAAUGCUGCCAGUUAUCAUGGUAAUUUAGCUGUGCUUUAUCAUCGCUGGGGAAAUCUUGACUUAGCAAAGAAGCACUAUGAAGUCUCUCUGAAGCUUGAUCCUGUGGCACCUGGGACCAAGGAAAACUACAAUCUCUUAAGAAGAAAACUGGAGCAAUUGCAAAGGAAAGGCGGUGCCUGAUAUUUCUUUUCAGGUUGUCCAUGCAUGCCCUUUACUACUAGUGUUACAUGGUUACUUUUGACCAUGUAAAGGAUUCAGUCAUCAUUUCUCAGAAAGAACAACACCAGCAAUGCACACUUGGAUGUCCAAUUAUGCCCUCCUGCAGAUUCUAACAUUUCAGCUGGAGUUUGGAGAUCUUUUUAUUUUUACUCUUGAACUCCAUUUUGAAGUCCCUUAGAACACUUUUGUAGGUAUACGAAAGCAAUGCAGAUGGAAUUUCACAGCUGUGAAAAAAUAGCAAUAUUUGCUUUCACUUGCAAUUUGAUAUCUUCAUCUGACUUUUUUAGCAGCAGGAUGAAUAUCAGAAGGCAGAUUUAUUUCUGAAAGCGUUUCUGGAAAAAGUGCAAUUUCCUGCUUAAAUACUGAUCAUUUCAAGUAUGAAGAAUAUAUGUCCACUUCAGUUUUAUUACUGCUUUCUACUGCUAGUCCUACAGAGCCAGUAGAAGAAUGUAUUCUUUCUGGCAGUCUAAUUUUGUAAUUUGAGUUAUGCUUUGUUUCUUGUUUCUGGCUCCACCCUUUGAACUGCAGGAUUUGUACAGGUGAAAACGUGCACCAUAAAAGGUUUGUCAGCCACCAAGCUGCUGAGAUAUGCUCGAGUGGAGGAAAUACUCCUGGAUUUAAGAUAAGAUUUUAGCAAGCAGCAAAUGGAAAAGAAAGAAGUGUCAGAUGUCAGAGGAGUAAGCUAGAGUUUCUGUUCUUCAGGUAACCUCAUCUAGCAUAGACAGGUUGGGCCACAAGUCAGAAUACCUUUAAGCUCUUGCAGCAAGUCAGUGGUCUAAAUACAGUAUAGCAUCUAUGAGAGUUGAUUCUCGUUGUCUAAGGCAUUGCAGUGUUUUUUGAUUGAGGACAUAACACCUUCUAGCUCCUACACUGCUGAUAAGAAAGAGAGAAUUUCUGUGGGAAAAGUAACUGGGCAGACAAUCUGACCUUGACUGAUAAGGUAUUAAGUGGAAGGAACUGUGAUAAACCAUUUGUCUAACCAUGGCUGGUGAGUUUGCUGAAAUCAGUUAAAUAAGCAUAGCUGUUAAUGUGUAAACUGAUCAGGUUGAUGCGGGGUGAUUGAGAGAGGGGCACCAAUUGAUACAGUGUCAUUUUUCAACUUGCUGUGAUACAUGUUUAAACUCUGGCUGUCCAGAGUUGUUUCUUUUGCUAGUAUUUAUAUCCCUGCUUCAGGGAAUGAUCUCGUGUCUAUUUUCUUAUUUGUUUGCUUGUUUUAUUUCAGAUUGGAUGACUUCUAUUGGAUGUGAAAAUUGAGGAACUUAGCCUCUUUUUUGUAUUCCAUUAUUCUUUCUUUUUAUCCCCAUAGGAAGACAUUGUUUAAUGUAGUAUUUGCAGCUUUCCUAAUUAGUGCAAUGGUUAUUUAAUAAGAGACUGUGGAAUGUUUUCCAUACACAACUCAUCUGCAGGUGUGUGGAACCAUUUAAAAUGUUGGGGAAAUGCCUGCCAUAGGACAGGCUGUCGCAUGAACUUGUCAUCUGACUACCAUGUAAACAUUCUACAUCCAGACUGUGUCUUGAACCUGUAGUAGGCUAACUUUUGAAAAUGACGGUUCAUUCAAGAACCAGUGUAUCUGCAGAGCUCACUAAGCAUCCUCCAACAAAGUUAGUUUGGGUACCACAAGUAGUGCAGCUGCUUCAAUGUAAUAUUCUUUCCUGAGUAACUACAAAUCUAGCCAGCAAGGCUGUGGCAGUGAUACUGCACAAAUUUGGCUUUGAAUGAAUUAAUAUGCCAAUGCCUGCAUUGCACAUGCACAAAUCUUGUAUUUGCCACGCUGAUUUUAGUUGAAGUACCAGAGGCAUGUAUUUGUAUUAAUGCAGCACUCCUCUCCUGCUACCAUACUCUGUUUCUCAGCAGGACUAAUUUGUUCAUGUAAGGUACCAACUUUGAUGCAUUGUUUUCAUUUCUUCUGGUUUUGCACCAGUAUGGCUUCCCAUCUUCUGAUGACCAGUAUAGUUCAGUCUUUACAGUUGAGCUUUCAUAUCUGAAAUGUGCUGAAAUAGAUAAACCCUUCAGUACAGACAGCAGACUUCUAAGGCUUUCCAUGCAGCUUAGCAUGCAUUGGAUGUAAAGACUUCUGUCGUUAGGUAUUAAAGGGUUGGGAUCUGGCUGGAUGAGCUAUGAACUAGCAGAAAAUAGAUGUUUAAUAUAAUCAAGUCUUUUCUGUAUAUUUGGAAUAUGACAUAUUGAGUUUAAAUUAUUAUUCUCAUCAUGAAGUUCAUAUGUAUAGUUGCCCCUGUUGCCUACUGAAGCUUACCAGUAGAUCAAUAUUAUAUAUGGGGUCUGAAUUCUCUGUGGUUCAUUACAAACCAAAGUUGUUGCAGAAAUUCCUGUGUGGAAAUCACUUUGUUCUCCUACUCAUGAGUCUUAUAUGGAAGAGGCAUGCUAACAAAUUGAACACUUUGUUGGCACUUGAAAAUGGUGUUUACUCUUCAAUACAGACAGUGUGAUUUAUUCUUGAUUAGUUUUCUGGGAACCUAUUGUAUUAUUAUGUGUGGGACUAUUUGUUUUAUAUCAUUUUUUAGUGCUGUAUAAAUUCAGUGUGAUUACUUGUAUGAGAGUAGUAACGAUACUCUUGUGAGUGAGCAUAAUGUUGAGGCAUACUUUGGGUUUGAAAGAAGCAAACCUUUUUUUUGUUGUUGUUUUAUUUUCAGAAUUAUUUUGAGAGAAAAACAGUUAUAAUGUUAACCACAUUCUUAUUUUCUCAUACCUCAUAACUGGCUCCUGCAAUGGUGCAGAACACAUACUCUGGAAGAGAAAAAGGUUUAGAAAAAAGUGGGUUUGUAUGUAGCUGUUGUUACAGUCUGUAUUUCCAGCAUGCUGGAUUUUUUUCUCCAUGUUGCCUUUCCAUCACUGACAAUUAUGGAAGACUAAUGUUUCCUUCGUAUCGGCUGACAUUAAAUCAAAAAACCUGGAUAUUCUUCAUUUUUCCAAAGCUUGCUUGUUCAAAUACAGUUUUGAAGACAUACUCAAUUAUUCAAUGCACAAAUGGCUACUAUGCAUUACAGCCCAUUUUCACCAAAAACUUCCAAGAGAAUUCCAUAAUUUUCUGUUCCUCUUGUGUUUAGAACAAUGUCGUUUACAUGAAGUUUCCUCUUAUUUAAUUCAUAUUUAGGUUUUAGAGAUCUGGGUUGUGUGUGUAUGAGCACUCAGAAAUAAAAAUCUUCAAUACUUCUGAAUGGUUUGCUACAAAUAUUGGGCUCUGUUAAUUGCAAUUUCCUCCACGUUUUAGACAUCUGAGCUGUUCAUCUUAGUUUUUCUGUAAUAGGAAUAAAACAAAUAUGAAACAUGGUUCAUCUCUUAAAGAAAAGGAUGUGAGGCAUCAUGUAUUUGAAACAGAUAAUUCCUCACUACCUUCAAAGGGUUACUAAGAUGAUCUGCUCAUAUAUAUUAAGAAAAUCUCUGCUGCUUUCAGGUGAAUUAAUCUGGUCUUCUCUUACACCAUCCCUUGCACAAAGAAUAUUAAAAGACUGGCUUUAGGGCAAACUGGCAGGUAUUUGCCUUGAGAGUCAGUUAUAGCAACUGGAUGAGGGAAUGGGAUAAUACAAAUUAGAAGUGUUUUAGUUUCUGCAGACAGUUAAGCUUAUGAGACAGAUAAAGCAUCUGAAUGUCAAAUCUCUCUACACAAACAGUGCAUUGGGGUUCAGUUCUAUCUAUUGUUAGCUUGUCUGUGAUCACAAUAAAUGAUGACAACUUAUUGUAAAAUUGACUUUUUGUCGUUGUUCACUGUUUUACAAGCAAGUUAAAGCAACUGUAAAUUUACAAAAAUGAGAUUUCCUUAAAUUGAAGUUGCUAUUUCAAGCUGCAACUGUCAGAAUGUCAAAUGUGAUAGUGUAGCCCACGUAUGUUUUGGGGUUUUUUUACAUUAAAUAUGUUAAAUUUUU